GCCACAGGGGAACGAGUGCGCGCGCGCCUUAAAGGGGCAGGCACCGCGGGCCGGUCGCCCUGCUUGCCGAGCAGGCUUCCCGCUGAGCCCGAGGCCGUGUGAACCCUGCGGCGGCCUUUUACCGUGACGAGGUUUCACUGGGGUCGCCCCUUGCCCCAGUGCCUCCGCCCGCCCGCGGGCCUCUCCGCGCUGGGCGGCCUCGGGCGGCCUCCUCGAGCCGCGGGUACGGGAAGAUCCUCGGGGAAGGCGGAACUGUGAGCGGCCCGGGCAAAACGCACUUCCCUGCUCUCCUAGUCCCCCUCUGUACAUGGGCGUGCUGGGUCCUGCACACCAACAGGCCAGUUCAAAGCUUUAUUCUUGGUAUUGGUGUUUCUGAGAAGUUUCUCGGUUUACUGUCACCCCCUUUCCAUUUGUUCUUACCCAGUUCUGGUGUCUUUUCAACAUGAAUCAUCCCCUGUUGACGCGGCUAYAUAUAGGCAAUGAUAAAAGUUCUGAACUUGAUGAUUUUGCCAUUGUUUCCUUAAACAUACACAUAGCUGAAAUGGCAUGAGGAACGGGAAAUAUUGGUACAAACUAGGGAAGAUUUCGCACUUCUUUCUGAACUGUGCUCUUCUCUCUUUGAAACCCACUUCGUUCUCUAAAAUCCAACUCUUCUGCCUUAUUUCCCUUAGCAGUCAAUUCAGCUGCUGAGUUCUCAAAUUAUUCCUUCCCUGUUUUAUUGGUGAAAUAAUAGCUUGCUGUAAAAGCAAGUGACUUUGCAGAACUUACAWCGGUAUAUUCAUUUCUGAAUUCACCAGAAGAGGUUGUUACGCAAACAUUACACAGAAAGUGCGAUUACAAUAACCGGUACUUCAGAUAAACCCGCUCAAGCUGAUGGAGCAGUUUCCGAAGAAAGCAGAUGACAAACAGCACUGCGGAGAACGGAAAGGAGAAAGCCCUGUCUUCCCCAAACGGUAUCUUGUUUGCUUUGCGGUGGGGCGCUGACGCUUUUGUCUUUACAGGGGAAGAGGAAAAGGAGACGUGCGGUCAUUAGGGCGAGGCUGGAGUUUAGGGUAAGAACAAUCACGUCAGUUCUUACCUAUCGCACUCCCUACCGAAGCGUGUUUUGAAAUUACAGGCGUUUAACGCCUGUAAUAAUAAAUAAAAAAAAUAAAUAUAAUAAAAAGCA
Molecule: long non-coding RNA, 1168 nt
Organism: Apteryx haastii (Great spotted kiwi)
Lineage: Eukaryota; Metazoa; Chordata; Aves; Apterygiformes; Apterygidae
Source: Ensembl